AGUGAACGCUGGCGGUAGGCCUAACACAUGCAAGUCGAACGGCAGCACAGUAAGAGCCUGCUCUUACUGGUUGCGAGUGGCGUACGGGUGAGGAAUACAUCCUACUCUAUUUUUUCGUGGGGGAUAACGUAGGGAUACUUACGCUAAUAUCGCAUACGACCUUCGGUUGAAAGUACUUGAUCUUCGCACCUUGCUCGCUUCAAUGUGCCGCUGUGUUAUUUUCUAGUUGUGGGGGUAUAGGCCCACCAAGGCGACGAUCCAUAGCGGGUCUGAGAGGAUAAUCGGCCACACUGGAAUUGAGACACGGUCCAGACUCCUAAGGAAGGCAGAAGAGGGAAAUAUUGGACAAGGGGCGCAAGCCUGAUCAAGACAGACCGCGUGGGUGAAGAAGGCCUUCGGGUUGUAAAGCCCUUUUGUUGGGAAAGAAAAGCAGGAGGUUAAUAACCUGCUGUUCUGACGGUACCCAAAGAAUAAGCAACGGCUAACUUCGUG
This 492-nucleotide ribosomal RNA is filed under the name uncultured bacterium. RNAcentral describes it as "partial 16S ribosomal RNA". It matches the Rfam family "Bacterial small subunit ribosomal RNA", at positions 29 to 507 of the family's 1533-position model. The record is from RNAcentral.